GACUCCAUGAAGUCGGAAUCGCUAGUAAUCGCAAAUCAGAAUGUUGCGGUGAAUACGUUCCCGGGCCUUGUACACACCGCCCGUCACACCAUGGGAGUGGGUUGUACCAGAAGUAGAUAGCUUAACCUUCGGGAGGGCGUUUACCACGGUAUGAUUCAUGACUGGGGUGAAGUCGUAACAAGGUAACCGUAGGGGAACCUGCGGUUGGAUCACCUCCUUA
RNAcentral lists this non-coding RNA (220 nucleotides) under Pasteurellaceae bacterium 15-036681. RNAcentral's name for it is "Bacterial small subunit ribosomal RNA". It matches the Rfam family "Bacterial small subunit ribosomal RNA", at positions 1314 to 1533 of the family's 1533-position model. Lineage: Bacteria; Pseudomonadati; Pseudomonadota; Gammaproteobacteria; Pasteurellales; Pasteurellaceae. The record is from Rfam by way of RNAcentral.